GGGGAUGUUUUGGCUUCGACGGGGGUAAGAUGGGUUUGAUAAGCGAGUAGAGUGAAGCAUGGAAACUCUUAAAUCGACUAUGCAUUAAAUAUAAACGCAGAAGAUAAUUUUGCAUUAGCAGCUUAAUUUAGCGCUGCUCAUCUGACCUAGGCUGCCCACGGUUUAGGACCCAGGUGUCAUUUAAAGUGGGGAACCGAGCUUAGCAAAGCUUUGAGUUAAGAACGGAAGAUAUGAAGCUACCGAGAAAGAAGUUUGUCACUGGACGUCUUUUUAGGGAAUUUUAAAUCAGAUGACUACACUCGUAGAAAGUCUUACUGGUCUGCUUUCGGACACGGGUUCGACACCCGUCAUCUCCACCA
This 359-nucleotide transfer-messenger RNA is filed under the name Clostridiaceae. Its description in RNAcentral is "Sarcina mediterraneense Standard tmRNA". It matches the Rfam family "transfer-messenger RNA". Rfam says of the family: Bacterial tmRNA, also known as 10Sa RNA or SsrA, is named for its dual tRNA and mRNA-like properties. Its role is to liberate the mRNA from a stalled ribosome. To accomplish this part of the tmRNA is used as a reading frame that ends in a translation stop signal. RNAcentral also lists the same sequence under 1 other name. Lineage: Bacteria; Bacillati; Bacillota; Clostridia; Eubacteriales. The record is from RNAcentral.